CGAGUAGGCGGUCGGCCAAGUGGAAUGUGAAAGCCCGGGGCUCAACCCCGGAACUGCAUUCCAAACUUGCGGACUAGAGGACAGGAGGGGGAAGUGGAACUCCAGGUGGAGCGGUGAAAUGCGUAGAUAUCUGGAGGAACACCGGUGGCGAAAGCGACUUCCUGGCCUGUCCCUGACGCUGAGGCGCGAAAGCGUGGGUAGCAAACAGGAUUAGAUACCCUGGUAUCC
Molecule: ribosomal RNA, 228 nt
Filed under: uncultured bacterium
Lineage: Bacteria
Description: partial 16S ribosomal RNA
Rfam family: Bacterial small subunit ribosomal RNA
Source: RNAcentral